RNAcentral lists this ribosomal RNA (480 nucleotides) under uncultured bacterium. RNAcentral describes it as "bacterial SSU rRNA". It matches the Rfam family "Bacterial small subunit ribosomal RNA", at positions 335 to 802 of the family's 1533-position model. The record is from RNAcentral.
ACUCCUACGGGAGGCAGCAGUGGGGAAUAUUGGACAAUGGGGGAAACCCUGAUCCAGCAAUGCCGCGUGUGUGAAGAAGGCCUGAGGGUUGUAAAGCACUUUCAACUGUGAGGAUUGGGGUAUUUUUGGGUUAAUACCCGAGAUCCUUGACGUUAGCAGUAGAAGAAGCACCGGCUAACUCCGUGCCAGCAGCCGCGGUAAUACGGAGGGUGCAAGCGUUAAUCGGGAAUUACUGGGCGUAAAGCGUUCUGUAGGCGGCUUAUUAAGUCGGAUGUGAAAUCCCAGGGCUUAACCUUGGAACUGCAUUCGAUACUGGUAGGCUAGAGUGUGUAAGAGGAUAGUGGAAUUCCAGGUGGUAGCGGUGAAAUGCGUAGAUAUGUGGAGGAACAUCAGUGGCGAAGGCGACUGUCUGGUACAACACUGACGCUCAGAGACGAAAGCGUGGGAGCAAACAGGAUUAGAUACCCUGGUAGACUGUCA